AUAUACAUAUAUAUAGACUGGUUAGAUUAGUUUAGAUUAGUUUUUUGAAAAUCCAAGCUGAAAGCAAACUUUGAAUUUUUUUCGGUUCUGAAUUUCUCAAACUAAAAUCAAAUGAAAGUUUAAAAAUAAUUAACUUAAAUUGAACCGAAAAAACCCGAUCGGAUUAGAUUCGCAGAUCGGACCAUUUUUUGCACACCUCCGCAACUGACCCAUUCCUGCCCCAAAAUAGUGCCUAGGGUUUAAGGCCCGGGCAUCCUUGGCUCCUUGCAUCCAUCUCCCCCGUUCCUCUAUAAAAGCCACUUCUCUGUCCGCUUUUGCUUGUUCUUCCUCCGGCGGCGACGAGAUGAGGGAGAUCAAAACUUUCGUUCUUCCGAGGUAUUUGUUGUGCAAUGCGGAAGAUUCAUGGAGACCUGAACUGAGGAUACUUGUGUCAAGAAUUUUUACUCCUCGAUUUUUCUCUUACUUUUUGCUGUUAUACUUUGUAUUGGAUUAACGCGAUUAUUAUGCUCUUUGAAUCUCUGUGAAGAUCAUUUUUUGAGAUUAAAAUAGUGGGCUGACAUCAUUUUGAUGAAUGGAAUUAUCUGUUUCUGAGGGAUUUAUCUGCACUUGCGUUUGAGAUAAACGUUAUUCCGUUUUCCCUUUCAGGAUCACUAUGGGGUUGCGCACGAAAGCUGAUCUUUUGUGCAAUGCCCUGAUCAAAAUUGCUAUCAUUUCUGGGGUUUGUUAUUAUAUUCCAUUAUUAGAAAUUAGUGACUUGCAUUUUUGUUUGACUAAUUUAUUUCUUGGAGCCGUGUUUUCCAAUUUCUGCCAUUCUUAAUAAUUGGUGUCUAGUCGUUCAAUACUUCACUCUAUACUAGCUUUUAGUAUUGAUUUAUUUUAUCAUGCUUAAUUACUUUAGAAAAUCAAAAUUAAAGGUAUGGCCUUUCCAGAUGAAUGGGUCACUUAUUGUUUUAUUCAAGUUAAAGCAUGUUUUAUUUUUCUUCUUUUAUGAUGGUUUUACAGGUCAUUUACUGUCUAUUAGGUGCUUUUGUUUGCAGUUCCUGAUUGGGGCCAGGAUUUUGAUUGGUAGAGUAAGUUUGCCCGAGGAUGGAUCUGUUUUUGAAUUUUUUAUCUGAAAUAUCAGUUUAACAUGAUUUAUUAUAAAAUACUAUUAUCCAUAUCAUUGUAGUAUUUAUAAAAGUAUAUUGCCCUCACAAAUUCAAUCAACCUUGUUUUCAUUUGAUUCUGUGUUUAAAUAUGGUGGUGUCAUGCCUUACAGGCUCCUUUUUCUAUUUUAGACGUGUCUGGAGUCAUAUUCAGGAUUCAACAAUGCAAAUUCAGGGUCAUAUUAAGAACUUUGGGUCUUUGUUUUGUUGUAAUUGGCAGUGGGUGUUUUACUUGGGGAAAGAUCGAAAUUGUAGCUCUCAACUUUAAUAUGUAUUUAUACUGCUUUUUACCGUGAUAUUGAUUUCUUUGUUAUUUAUGUUGCUAUUCACUAGUCAGGUAAUCUUUACAUUAUCUCUUCAGUUAAGGCUGGCUGCAGCUUCUGUUGUUUGAUAAUUUCUUAAGGGAUAGUUACCAAAAAAAAUUCCUUAAGGGAUAUUUAUUUUGCAAUAUUUUAAGUUACAUGUUUCUUUGCAGAUUCUGUGUUUAUUUCACAUAUGAAUGAUUUCAGAUAUCAUGUUCAUUACUCUAUUUAACUGGUUUAAUGUUAUCGAUAUUCUAUUGAUCUUUUGAGGUCCAAGCUUCCAGUGAUUGAACAUAACAUCAGUUUCAGCCUUAUCUGAACAAUGUAUUGAUGUUGAAAUCUCAAAUUUGUUCUGAGGGAGCCAUUUACUUGCCAUAGUUUACAAAAUAUUAAGCAUAUAGGCGUGUCCUUACUAUUUUCUUUUGACAUGUCCUUACUCUUUGCAUUUUCUUUUGCUUAUCUUUUGGGUUUUCACAAUGGGUCGAAGACUUGCUCGCUGCUACCACCGACAGAUCAAGAACAAGCCUUACUCCUAAGGCCCUAUUUGGGGGAGCUGUUGGAAGUAGAGCUUUUGAAAGUAGAGUUGUUGGAAGUAGAGCUUUUUGAAGUAGAGCUUUCAGUGAGCCUACUGUUCCCAUUGAUGAGGGUAUCGACUAUCGAUCCACCUGCCCCCAUGAAAAUGCCUUUAGUAGAGCCAGAGAUUCCUGUGAAGCAUGGAGUUAGGAAUUUCAUGGCAUCAUUUGACUUUCAGCUUCCACAUCUAAAGAGCAACACAAGUCACGCUAUUAGUUGGAUGAGGAGCAGAUGAGAACCAUAGUUGAGCAGGUGAUUUCUGGGAGAAUUGCUUCCAGAGCUGUUAGUCAGGGGGAGCAGAGACACAUGGUUCAUUGCCUACGGAUCAGAGGAUGGAACCUCAUGUGUCUUCAUUGACCUAGAUGGUAGUUGAGUUGAGGCACAACAUCUCGGACAUCCACUUCUUGGUGACCAGUCAGCUCAGAAGGACUGGAGACAUUGAGAGGGAGACAAGGACCUUGUAGACCUCUGUACAAGAUGAGAUCAAGCAUUUUACUACAGAGGCUCAAGGGAUUGGAAUGGAGAUUUUGUGUUUGCUAAAGGAGGUUUGGGACGAGUUGCGGUGACUGAUCGAGUCUCUUAUUGCAUCUGCAUCUACUCUUGUUGCAGUUAUUUGUUGCUUUACUUAGGAGAUGAGAGUCAGUCGACCUUUUUAGCAUGGUCCCUCUAGACCAUCAGUCCAUUGGCCUAGCCGCUCCACUAUUUAGCAUCCCCAUCAUAGCUCAUCUUCAUCCUCAUCUUCAUCUUCUGAUCAGUCACCUAGGAACCUUCAUCUUCUUAUUUUGUAUAGAUUCUUAGGGAUCUUAGAAUUACAUUUUAUUAUAUGUACUUGUAAAAAACAAAAUACAAUGAAGUUAUCCUUUUUGUUUA
Molecule: non-coding RNA, 2890 nt
Organism: Phoenix dactylifera (date palm)
Lineage: Eukaryota; Viridiplantae; Streptophyta; Magnoliopsida; Arecales; Arecaceae
Source: RefSeq, a predicted model, not a curated record